CGGCCUGCAGUCCGGAACCUCCUGAGACGGCCUGCAGUCCGGAACCUCCUGAGACGGCCUGCAGUCCGGAACCUCCUGAGACGGCCUACAGUCCGGAGUCUCCAGCGGCGGUCUGCAGUCCGGAGUCUCCAGCGGGGGUUUCCAGUUCAGAGCCUCCGGCGAUGAUUCACGGUCCGGUUCCUCUGGCGACGAUCCAUGGUCUGGUUAAACAAAAGCGGAGGGAUCAGCGGGCGGAGCGGGGGCUACGUCACGAACCGGAGCCGCCACCAAGGAUAGAUGCCCACCCGGACCCUCCCCUAUAGGUUCAGGUUUGCGGCCGGGAGUCCGCACCUCCCGGGGGUGUACUGUCACGCCCUGACCUUAGAGAGACGUUUUAUUUCCUCUAGUUUGGUUAGGUCAGGGUGUGAUGUGGGGUGGGCAAUCUAGUUUUUGUAUUUCUUUGUGUUUAGCUGAGUAUGGUUCCUAAUCAGAGGCUAUCGUUGUCUCCGAUUGGGAAUCAUACUUAAGUAAGUGGAAACUUUUUCUCUUUUAAUUCAGCUUUCUUCCCAUUUCUUGUGUUUUCAAAAACAAACCAGGUUGUAGUUUUAAAAUGCAAACCAACUGGAGGAGAUUAUUCAAAAAUGGUAUCUUAAAAUAAGUAACCAAAUCCCACUGGCCCAGGUAUUAUUUCAUCUGUAACCAAAUCCCACUGGCCCAGGUAUUGUUUCAUCUGUAACCAAAUCCCACUGGCCCAGGUAUUGUUUCAUCUGUAACCAAAUCCCACUGGCCCAGGUAGUUUAAUCUGUAACCAAAUCCCACUGGCCCAGGUAGUGUUUCAUCUGUAACCAAAUCCACUGGCCCAGGUAGUGUUUCAUCUGUAACCAAAUCCCACUGGCCCAGGUAGUGUUUCAUCUGUAACCAAAUCCCACUGGCCCAGGUACUGUUUCAUCUGUAACCAAAUCCCACUGGCCCAGGUACUGUUUCAUCUGUAACCAAAUCCACUGGCCCAGGUACUGUUUCAUCUGUAACCAAAUCCCACUGGCCCAGGUAGUGUUUCAUCUGUAACCAAAUCCCACUGGCCCAGGUACUGUUUCAUCUGUAACCAAAUCCCACUGGCCCAGGUAGUGUUUCAUCUGUUACCAAAUCCCACUGGCCCAGGUAGUGUUUCAUCUGUAACCAAAUCCCACUGGCCCAGGUAUUGUUUCAUCUGUCAACUAAUGACACUCAUUGCACUGUGCACCUGAGGCUAUGGCAGGUAGCCUACAUCUAGGUUACAAUAGUAGUCAACAGUUAGUAUGACACAUUACAUUACAGUGUGGCAGGUUAAAGCCUCAGGCUUAGUUUUAUUACUAGACGAGGUCCAUUAUCAGAUCUGACCCAUAUGAUUCAGUCAUUGAAACCCAUGUCACCUUCAAACACACACACAGCACUUCUUUAGUGGGUUUGAGGAGGGUCAGGGCUUGAUGUUUAAUGCGAGCUCAACGUCAGCUCCUUAGUUGGCCAAACUCUCUUUAUUAAUUGCUAUUGUUAGUAUAGUUUUUAUCUCACAAUCUCUAGUUCUCCUUGUCAAUUCAAGCCCCAUGUCAGAGUGGACCUCCCUGGUGCAUUCCAUCAGUCAAAGUUAUGUGUAUAGGGCUAUUCUUUCUGACACUUUCGUAUCCACCGUUCAUGCAGAAUGGCUCCAGCCGUAAGCUGUGUCCUAGUUGUAACAUCAAUAGGAGUAGCAUCAAAGAAGUGCAAGUUCUGUGGUGCAACAACACAGCUAAAGGUCAAGUUAGAGGCCCAAAAAAUGAAGGCUACAGAUGAAUGGGCAAAUAAGACAAUGAAACAUGGAAGAUAUGCAACCUUGGUUAAUGCAGCAAACAAGCUGGUAAGCUUUAUUAUGUUUUCCUCUAAAAAGAUUUCUGCAUUUCUAGCUUAGGGAUAUGAUAGGCCCUAUGCACUUAUUUGUUGUUGUCUCAUUGUGUCAUUUAAGACUGUAAAUCUAAAUGUCAUUAUUUGACUGAUAUUUGUUGUGUUUCUGGAAGUUAUUUUGUCAUUAAUGAUUCCAGGUACAUAGGUUCCACAAGGUAGGAGUGUACCCCCGCUACUCCUCAGCAAGAGGAAGAAGGAUAACAUUUUGUCGUCAACUGCACUGUGUCCUCCCAGUGGUAUGAUGAAUCAGACCUCAAUGGCACCAAUCCAAAGGUUGUAUGAGGCAAUUGUGAAAGUGGCAAUCAACACCCAUACCCCCACACUACAACCAUCCAACCCUCCUGCUGUUGCUGCCCAAGAACUGUCUGAUACAGUUGACCCCCAGGAGACCAGCUACACCUCCAUCCUCAACCAGGUUGAACCCCCGAUAUCCCCCACCACCCAGGAGACCAGCUCCACCCCAUCCUCAACCAGGUUGAACCCCCGAUAUCCCCCACCACCCAGGAGACCAGCUCCACCCCAUCCUCAACCAGGUUGAACCCCCGAUAUCCCCUACCACCCAGGAGACCAGCUCCACCCCAUCCUCAACCAGGUUGAACCCCCGAUAUCCCCCACCACCCAGGAGACCAGCUACACCCCCAUCCUCAACCAGGUUGAACCCCCGAUAUCCCCCACCACCCAGGAGACCAGCUUCACCCGGAUCCCCAACCAGGUUAAACCCCCAAUAACCCCCACCACCCAGGAGACCAGCUACACCCACACCAAACCAAAGAAGACGGAGAGAAAGUCCCGUCACCCUCAAAAACCCCUCCAACUCGCUGAGCAUGACACAGCCAACCCCAUCCAACCCCAUCCUACCCCAUCCAACUCCAUUCUACCCCAUCCAACCCCGACCAAGGAAGAGGAAAUAUGACUACAUGCAAAAAGAGUGUCCAGUGCAUCCGGGGCAAACGUUUUUCCCUAUUCUCAAGAUUCUUGCCAAUAGAACUUCAAAGGAGUGCCUUGCAAAAGUAGUCAAACCCCUUGGAAACGCCUUUGACAGUGAUUACAGCUGGGAGUCUUCUUGGGUAAGUCUUUUAGAGUCAUUACAGCUGUGAGUCUUUUAGAGCUUAACACACCAGGAUUGUGCAAAAUUAGCCCAUUAUUCUUUUUAUAAUUCUUCAAGCUCUGUCAAUAUGUUGGGGAUCAUGUCUAGACAACAAUUUAAAAGUCUUGCAAUAGAUUUCCAAUCAGAUUUAAGUCCAAACUUGAACUUGGCAACUCAGGAACAUUCACUGUCUUCUUGGUAAACAACUCCAGUGUAGAUUUGUCAUUGUGUUUUAGGUUAUUGUACUGCUGAAAGCUGGAUUCCUCUCCGAGUGUCUGUGGCAAGAAAUGGGAUGAUGACUGGAUCAAGGCCGAGGACCGCGCUUCUCCAGUUUAACCUACUUUAUGCACAAAUGUAUUCUUCACUCUCGCUUCACAUGUAUCACUGUCAACCAUAAGUGGUUGGCCAAAUUCACCAUGAUUUACCAUUGAAACAUUCAUGGAGCAUCAGCAUGCCAACCAUUUGAUCUCAAUCAGUUUCAUGAGAAUAUGCAUUUAGAUAUUAUUCAUAUAAAGUGAGCUAUAAACGUAUUGCAACAGUGACACAUGUUUUGUUGUUUUGGAUCUGUACUCCAGAACUUUUUAUUUGAAAUUAUACAAUGACUAUGAGGUUAAAGUGCAGACUAUCAGCUUUAAUUUGAGUGUAUUUUCAUCCAUAUCUGGUGAACCGUUUAGAAAUUACAGCACAUUUUGUACUAGCCCCCCCCCCCCAUUUUGGGGGACCAAAAGUAUUGUGAUAAAUUCACUUAUGUGUAUUAAAGUAGUCAGAAGUUGAGUAUUUUUGUCUUUUAUGUUUGUAAUGAUUCAUUUUACUAUGUUAUUAAAUAUAUACGUUUAAUUUCACUCUCAUUUUUUACCUUUAGUCUGCCUAUUUCUAUAACCCAAUGCACAUAGCUGAUUAUCUU
This 3884-nucleotide long non-coding RNA is filed under the name Salmo salar (Atlantic salmon). RNAcentral describes it as "lncRNA (ENSSSAG00000090767.1)". Lineage: Eukaryota; Metazoa; Chordata; Actinopteri; Salmoniformes; Salmonidae. The record is from RNAcentral.